Molecule: ribosomal RNA, 482 nt
Filed under: uncultured bacterium
Lineage: Bacteria
Description: partial 16S ribosomal RNA
Rfam family: Bacterial small subunit ribosomal RNA
Source: RNAcentral
AUUGAACGCUGGCGGCAUGCCUUACACAUGCAAGUCGAACGGUAACAGGUCUUCGGACGCUGACGAGUGGCGAACGGGUGCGUAAUGCAUCGGAACGUGCCCAGUCGCGGGGGAUAACUGCUCGAAAGAGCAGCUAAUACCGCAUACGACCUGAGGGUGAAAGCGGGGGACCGUAAGGCCUCGCGCGAUUGGAGCGGCCGAUGUCAGAUUAGCUAGUUGGUGGGGUAAAGGCCUACCAAGGCAACGAUCUGUAGUUGGUCUGAGAGGACGACCAGCCACACUGGGACUGAGACACGGCCCAGACUCCUACGGGAGGCAGCAGUGGGGAAUUUUGGACAAUGGGCGCAAGCCUGAUCCAGCAAUGCCGCGUGCAGGAAGAAGGCCUUCGGGUUGUAAACUGCUUUUGUCAGGGAAGAAAUCUUCUGGGCUAAUACCCCGGGAGGAUGACGGUACCUGAAGAAUAAGCACCGGCUAACUACGUG